UACGUAGGGGGCAAGCGUUAUCCGGAUUCACUGGGCGUAAAGGGAGCGCAGGCGGCACGGCAAGUCUGGUGUGAAAACCCGGGGCUCAACCCCGGGACUGCAUUGGAAACUGCCGGGCUGGAGUGUCGGAGGGGUAAGCGGAAUUCCUAGUGUAGCGGUGAAAUGCGUAGAUAUUAGGAGGAACACCAGUGGCGAAGGCGGCCUACUGGACGAUGACUGACGCUGAGGCUCGAAAGCGUGGGGAGCAAACAGG
This 253-nucleotide ribosomal RNA is filed under the name uncultured bacterium. RNAcentral describes it as "partial 16S ribosomal RNA". It matches the Rfam family "Bacterial small subunit ribosomal RNA", at positions 524 to 776 of the family's 1533-position model. The record is from RNAcentral.